GAUGAACGCUGGCGGCGUGCCUAAUACAUGCAAGUCGAGCGCGAAGAUCAGGAGCUUGCUCCUGUGAUUUGAGCGGCGGACGGGUGAGUAACACGUAGGCAACCUACCCUUGAGAUUGGGAUAACUACCGGAAACGGUAGCUAAUACCGGAUACGACCUUUCCACAUAAGUGGGCUGGUUAAAAGGCGGAUUUAUCUGCCGCUCAUGGAUGGGCCUGCGGUGCAUUAGCUAGUUGGUGAGAUAGUAGCUCACCAAGGCGACGAUGCAUAGCCGACCUGAGAGGGUGAUCGGCCACACUGGGACUGAGACACGGCCCAGACUCCUACGGGAGGCAGCAGUAGGGAAUCUUCCGCAAUGGACGAAAGUCUGACGGAGCAACGCCGCGUGAGUGAUGAAGGGUUUCGGCUCGUAAAACUCUGUUGUUAAGGAAGAAUACUUGAGGUAGUAACUGGCCUUGAG
Molecule: ribosomal RNA, 459 nt
Filed under: uncultured bacterium
Lineage: Bacteria
Description: bacterial SSU rRNA
Rfam family: Bacterial small subunit ribosomal RNA
Source: RNAcentral